AUUGAACGCUGGCGGCAGGCCUAACACAUGCAAGUCGAGCGGAUGAAGGGAGCUUGCUCCUGGAUUCAGCGGCGGACGGGUGAGUAAUGCCUAGGAAUCUGCCUGGUAGUGGGGGAUAACGUCCGGAAACGGGCGCUAAUACCGCAUACGUCCUGAGGGAGAAAGUGGGGGAGCUUCGGACCUCACGCUAUCAGAUGAGCCUAGGUCGGAUUAGCUAGUUGGUGGGGUAAAGGCCUACCAAGGCGACGAUCCGUAACUGGUCUGAGAGGAUGAUCAGUCACACUGGAACUGAAACACGGUCCAGACUCCUGAGGGAGGCAGCAGUGGGGAAUAUUGGACAAUGGGCGAAAGCCUGGUCCAGCCAUGCCGCGUGUGUGAAGAAGGUCUUCGGAUUGUAAAGCACUUUAAGUUGGGAGGAAGGGCAGUAAGUUAAUACCUUGCUGUUUUGACGUUACCAACAGAAUAAGCACCGGCUAACUUCGUG
RNAcentral lists this ribosomal RNA (484 nucleotides) under uncultured bacterium. RNAcentral describes it as "partial 16S ribosomal RNA". It matches the Rfam family "Bacterial small subunit ribosomal RNA", at positions 30 to 507 of the family's 1533-position model. The record is from RNAcentral.